RNAcentral lists this ribosomal RNA (328 nucleotides) under uncultured eukaryote. RNAcentral's name for it is "partial 18S ribosomal RNA". It matches the Rfam family "Eukaryotic small subunit ribosomal RNA", at positions 1470 to 1796 of the family's 1831-position model. The record is from RNAcentral.
CCCUUAGAUGUCCUGGGCCGCACGCGCGUUACACUGAUGCAUUCAACGAGCUUAUAACCUUGGCCGAGAGGCCUGGGCAAUCUUGUUAACGUGCAUCGUGAUAGGGAUGGAUUAUUGAAAUUAUUAAUCUUGAACGAGGAAUUCCUAGUAAACGCAGAUCAUCAAUCUGCAUUGAUUACGUCCCUGCCCUUUGUACACACCGCCCGUCGCACCUACCGAUUGGAUGGUCCGGUGAAGCCUCGGGAUUGUGGUUCUUGCCGCUUUAUUGUGGCGUGACCGCGAGAACUUGUCUAAACCUUAUCAUCUAGAGGAAGGUGAAGUCGUANCA